This 501-nucleotide ribosomal RNA is filed under the name uncultured bacterium. RNAcentral describes it as "partial 16S ribosomal RNA". It matches the Rfam family "Bacterial small subunit ribosomal RNA", at positions 29 to 523 of the family's 1533-position model. The record is from RNAcentral.
AUUGAACGCUGGCGGCAUGCCUUACACAUGCAAGUCGAACGGCAGCACGGGUGCUUGCACCUGGUGGCGAGUGGCGAACGGGUGAGUAAUACAUCGGAACGUACCUUAUCGUGGGGGAUAACGCAGCGAAAGCUGUGCUAAUACCGCAUACGCCCUGAGGGGGAAAGCGGGGGAUCGAAAGACCUCGCGCGAUUAGAGCGGCCGAUGCCUGAUUAGCUUGUUGGUGGGGUAAAAGCCCACCAAGGCAACGAUCAGUAGCUGGUCUGAGAGGACGAUCAGCCACACGGGGACUGAGACACGGCCCAGACUCCUACGGGAGGCAGCAGUGGGGAAUUUUGGACAAUGGGGGAAACCCUGAUCCAGCAAUGCCGCGUGAGUGAAGAAGGCCUUCGGGUUGUAAAGCUCUUUUGUCAGGGAAGAAACACCGGCUCUAACACAGUCCGGGAAUGACGGUACCUGAAGAAUAAGCGCCGGCUAACUACGUGCCAGCAGCCGCGGUAA